UACGUAGGGGGCAAGCGUUGUCCGGAAUCAUUGGGCGUAAAGCGCGUGUAGGCGGCUGAGUAAGUCUGCUCUGAAAGCCCGGGGCUCAACCCCGGGAGGCGGGUGGAUACUGUCAAGCUCGAGUCCGGAAGAGGAGUGUGGAAUUCCUGGUGUAGCGGUGAAAUGCGCAGAUAUCAGGAGGAACACCAAUGGCGAAGGCAGCACUCUGGGACGUGACUGACGCUGAGACGCGAAAGCGUGGGGAGCAAACAGG
RNAcentral lists this ribosomal RNA (253 nucleotides) under uncultured bacterium. RNAcentral describes it as "partial 16S ribosomal RNA". It matches the Rfam family "Bacterial small subunit ribosomal RNA", at positions 524 to 776 of the family's 1533-position model. The record is from RNAcentral.